RNAcentral lists this ribosomal RNA (2863 nucleotides) under Staphylococcus epidermidis. Its description in RNAcentral is "partial 23S ribosomal RNA". It matches the Rfam family "Bacterial large subunit ribosomal RNA". The record is from RNAcentral. Lineage: Bacteria; Bacillati; Bacillota; Bacilli; Caryophanales; Staphylococcaceae.
CGAUAUGCUUUGGGUAGCUGUAAGUAAGCGUUGAUCCAGAGAUUUCCGAAUGGGGGAACCCAGCAUGAGUUAUGUCAUGUUAUCGACAUGUGAAUUCAUAGCAUGUCAGAAGGCAGACCCGGAGAACUGAAACAUCUUAGUACCCGGAGGAAGAGAAAGAAAAAUCGAUUCCCUGAGUAGCGGCGAGCGAAACGGGAAGAGCCCAAACCAACAAGCUUGCUUGUUGGGGUUGUAGGACACUCUAUACGGAGUUACAAAAGAACAUGUUAGACGAAUCAUCUGGAAAGAUGAAUCAAAGAAGGUAAUAAUCCUGUAGUCGAAAACAUAUUCUCUCUUGAGUGGAUCCUGAGUACGACGGAGCACGUGAAAUUCCGUCGGAAUCUGGGAGGACCAUCUCCUAAGGCUAAAUACUCUCUAGUGACCGAUAGUGAACCAGUACCGUGAGGGAAAGGUGAAAAGUACCCCGGAAGGGGAGUGAAAGAGAACUUGAAACCGUGUGCUUACAAGUAGUCAGAGCCCGUUAAUGGGUGAUGGCGUGCCUUUUGUAGAAUGAACCGGCGAGUUACGAUCUGAUGCAAGGUUAAGCAGCAAAUGUGGAGCCGCAGCGAAAGCGAGUCUGAAUAGGGCGUUGAGUAUUUGGUCGUAGACCCGAAACCAGGUGAUCUACCCUUGGUCAGGUUGAAGUUCAGGUAACACUGAAUGGAGGACCGAACCGACUUACGUUGAAAAGUGAGCGGAUGAACUGAGGGUAGCGGAGAAAUUCCAAUCGAACUUGGAGAUAGCUGGUUCUCUCCGAAAUAGCUUUAGGGCUAGCCUCAAGUGAUGAUUAUUGGAGGUAGAGCACUGUUUGGACGAGGGGCCCCUCUCGGGUUACCGAAUUCAGACAAACUCCGAAUGCCAAUUAAUUUAACUUGGGAGUCAGAACAUGGGUGAUAAGGUCCGUGUUCGAAAGGGAAACAGCCCAGACCACCAGCUAAGGUCCCAAAAUAUAUGUUAAGUGGAAAAGGAUGUGGCGUUGCCCAGACAACUAGGAUGUUGGCUUAGAAGCAGCCAUCAUUUAAAGAGUGCGUAAUAGCUCACUAGUCGAGUGACACUGCGCCGAAAAUGUACCGGGGCUAAACAUAUUACCGAAGCUGUGGAUUGUCCUUUGGACAAUGGUAGGAGAGCGUUCUAAGGGCGUCGAAGCAUGAUCGCAAGGACAUGUGGAGCGCUUAGAAGUGAGAAUGCCGGUGUGAGUAGCGAAAGACGGGUGAGAAUCCCGUCCACCGAUUGACUAAGGUUUCCAGAGGAAGGCUCGUCCGCUCUGGGUUAGUCGGGUCCUAAGCUGAGGCCGACAGGCGUAGGCGAUGGAUAACAGGUUGAUAUUCCUGUACCACCUAGUAUCGUUUUAAUCGAUGGGGGGACGCAGUAGGAUAGGCGAAGCGUGCUGUUGGAGUGCACGUCCAAGCAGUAAGGCUGAGUGUUAGGCAAAUCCGGCACUCAUAAGGCUGAGCUGUGAUGGGGAGAGGAAAUUGUUUCCUCGAGUCGUUGAUUUCACACUGCCGAGAAAAGCCUCUAGAUAGAUAACAGGUGCCCGUACCGCAAACCGACACAGGUAGUCAAGAUGAGAAUUCUAAGGUGAGCGAGCGAACUCUCGUUAAGGAACUCGGCAAAAUGACCCCGUAACUUCGGGAGAAGGGGUGCUCUUUAGGGUUCACGCCCAGAAGAGCCGCAGUGAAUAGGCCCAAGCGACUGUUUAUCAAAAACACAGGUCUCUGCUAAACCGUAAGGUGAUGUAUAGGGGCUGACGCCUGCCCGGUGCUGGAAGGUUAAGAGGAGUGGUUAGCUUCUGCGAAGCUACGAAUCGAAGCCCCAGUAAACGGCGGCCGUAACUAUAACGGUCCUAAGGUAGCGAAAUUCCUUGUCGGGUAAGUUCCGACCCGCACGAAAGGCGUAACGAUUUGGGCACUGUCUCAACGAGAGACUCGGUGAAAUCAUAGUACCUGUGAAGAUGCAGGUUACCCGCGACAGGACGGAAAGACCCCGUGGAGCUUUACUGUAGCCUGAUAUUGAAAUUCGGCACAGCUUGUACAGGAUAGGUAGGAGCCUUUGAAACGUGAGCGCUAGCUUACGUGGAGGCGUUGGUGGGAUACUACCCUAGCUGUGUUGGCUUUCUAACCCGCACCACUUAUCGUGGUGGGAGACAGUGUCAGGCGGGCAGUUUGACUGGGGCGGUCGCCUCCUAAAAGGUAACGGAGGCGCUCAAAGGUUCCCUCAGAAUGGUUGGAAAUCAUUCAUAGAGUGUAAAGGCAUAAGGGAGCUUGACUGCGAGACCUACAAGUCGAGCAGGGUCGAAAGACGGACUUAGUGAUCCGGUGGUUCCGCAUGGAAGGGCCAUCGCUCAACGGAUAAAAGCUACCCCGGGGAUAACAGGCUUAUCUCCCCCAAGAGUUCACAUCGACGGGGAGGUUUGGCACCUCGAUGUCGGCUCAUCGCAUCCUGGGGCUGUAGUCGGUCCCAAGGGUUGGGCUGUUCGCCCAUUAAAGCGGUACGCGAGCUGGGUUCAGAACGUCGUGAGACAGUUCGGUCCCUAUCCGUCGUGGGCGUAGGAAAUUUGAGAGGAGCUGUCCUUAGUACGAGAGGACCGGGAUGGACAUACCUCUGGUGUACCAGUUGUCGUGCCAACGGCAUAGCUGGGUAGCUAUGUAUGGACGGGAUAAGUGCUGAAAGCAUCUAAGCAUGAAGCCCCCCUCAAGAUGAGAUUUCCCAACUUCGGUUAUAAGAUCCCUCGAAGAUGACGAGGUUAAUAGGUUCGAGGUGGAAGCGUGGUGACACGUGGAGCUGACGAAUACUAAUCGAUCGAAGACUUAAUCAAUUUUUUAAA